GAUGAACGCUAGCGGCAGGCUUAAUACAUGCAAGUCGAACGAACAGUAAUGUUAGUGGCGCACGGGUGCGUAACGCGUAUGCAACUUGCCUUUAACUGGGGGAUAACGUUUCGAAAGAGGCGCUAAUACCGCAUAAUACAGUGAAGACACAUGUUUUAUUGUUAAAGCUCCGGCGGUUAAAGAUGGGCAUGCGUAGGAUUAGCUAGUUGGUAAGGUAAUGGCUUACCAAGGCGACGAUCCUUAGGGGUUCUGAGAGGAAGGUCCCCCACACUGGUACUGAGAUACGGACCAGACUCCUACGGGAGGCAGCAGUAGGGAAUAUUGGUCAAUGGGCGCAAGCCUGAACCAGCCAUGCCGCGUGCAGGAAGAAUGCCCCUCUGGGUUGUAAACUGCUUUUGACAGGGAAGAAAUCACUUAUGCGUAAGUGUCUGACGGUACCUGUAGAAUAAGCACCGGCUAACUCCGUGCCAGCAG
RNAcentral lists this ribosomal RNA (474 nucleotides) under uncultured bacterium. Its description in RNAcentral is "bacterial SSU rRNA". It matches the Rfam family "Bacterial small subunit ribosomal RNA", at positions 28 to 514 of the family's 1533-position model. The record is from RNAcentral.